This 205-nucleotide unclassified non-coding RNA is filed under the name Hevea brasiliensis (rubber tree). Lineage: Eukaryota; Viridiplantae; Streptophyta; Magnoliopsida; Malpighiales; Euphorbiaceae. The record is from RNAcentral.
ACCUAUGUGGGAAACUUGAGCCCCUUGUCCUCUGCCAGUGUUUUGGGAUCCAAUCUCGUUUACAACUCUAGGAAUCAAGGUGACUCAGGAUCUAGAUCAACAACCAACACUAAUCUCCCCGAGAGACCUGAUCAACCUGAAUGUCGGUAUUUUAUGAACAAUGGGACCUGCAAAUAUGGAUCUGACUGCAAGUACCAUCACCCAA